RNAcentral lists this microRNA precursor (95 nucleotides) under Pelobates cultripes (western spadefoot toad). The record is from RNAcentral. Lineage: Eukaryota; Metazoa; Chordata; Amphibia; Anura; Pelobatidae.
AGAAAUUUCCCACGCUGUGUAAAAUGACUCAUAACACUCUGAUUGGUUAGUCACCAAUCAGAGUGUUAUGAGUCAUUUUACACAGCUGGGAAAAU